AUUGAACGCUGGCGGCAUGCUUUACACAUGCAAGUCGAACGGCAGCGCGGGCUUCGGCCUGGCGGCGAGUGGCGAACGGGUGAGUAAUGCAUCGGAACGUGCCCAGUAGUGGGGGAUAGCCCGGCGAAAGCCGGAUUAAUACCGCAUACGACCUGAGGGUGAAAGCGGGGGACCGAAAGGCCUCGCGCUAUUGGAGCGGCCGAUGUCGGAUUAGCUAGUUGGUGGGGUAAAGGCUUACCAAGGCGACGAUCCGUAGCUGGUCUGAGAGGACGACCAGCCACACUGGGACUGAGACACGGCCCAGACUCCUACGGGAGGCAGCAGUGGGGAAUUUUGGACGAUGGCGGCAACCCUGAUCCAGCCAUGCCGCGUGCGGGAAGAAGGCCUUCGGGUUGUAAACCGCUUUUGUUCGGGAAGAAAUCCUCUGGGCUAAUACCCCGGGGGGAUGACGGUACCGGAAGAAUAAGCACCGGCUAACUACGUG
This 484-nucleotide ribosomal RNA is filed under the name uncultured bacterium. Its description in RNAcentral is "partial 16S ribosomal RNA". It matches the Rfam family "Bacterial small subunit ribosomal RNA", at positions 28 to 507 of the family's 1533-position model. The record is from RNAcentral.